GUGGGGAAUAUUGGACAAUGGGCGCAAGCCUGAUCCAGCCAUGCCGCGUGAGUGAUGAAGGCCUUAGGGUUGUAAAGCUCUUUCAGUGGGGACGAUAAUGACGGUACCCACAGAAGAAGCCCCGGCUAACUUCGUGCCAGCAGCCGCGGUAAUACGAAGGGGGCUAGCGUUGUUCGGAUUUACUGGGCGUAAAGCGCACGUAGGCGGAUCGUUAAGUCGGGGGUGUAAUCCUGGAGCUCAACUCCAGAACUGCCUUCGAUACUGGCGAUCUUGAGUCCGGAAGAGGUGAGUGGAACUCCUAGUGUAGAGGUGGAAUUCGUAGAUAUUAGGAAGAACACCAGUGGCGAAGGCGGCUCACUGGUCCGGUACUGACGCUGAGGUGCGAAAGCGUGGGGAGCAAACAGGAUUAGAUACCCUUGUAGUCC
RNAcentral lists this ribosomal RNA (425 nucleotides) under uncultured bacterium. RNAcentral's name for it is "partial 16S ribosomal RNA". It matches the Rfam family "Bacterial small subunit ribosomal RNA", at positions 354 to 796 of the family's 1533-position model. The record is from RNAcentral.